GACAUUCUGUGAAAGCAGAACUCCGCAAGGACAACGAAACUAGGUGCUGCAUGGCUGUCGUCAGCUCGUGCCGUGAGGUGGUUGGGUUAACGUCCCGUAACGAGCGCAACCCCUAUCAUUAGUUGCCAUCAGGUCAUGCUGGGGACUCUAAUGAGACUGCCCGCGCAAGCGGUGAGGAAGGUGGGGACGACGUCAAGUCAUCACGGCCCUUACGUCCAGGGCUACACACGUGCUACAAUGGUAGAUACAGCAGGUUGCCACAUGGUAACAUGGAGCUAAUCCCAAAAGUCUAUCUCAGUUCGGAUUGAGGUCUGCAACUCGACCUCAUGAAGCUGGAUUCGCUAGUAAUCGAAAAUCAGCAAUGUUUCGGUGAAUACGUUCCCGGGCCUU
RNAcentral lists this ribosomal RNA (390 nucleotides) under uncultured Sphingobacteriales bacterium. RNAcentral's name for it is "bacterial SSU rRNA". It matches the Rfam family "Bacterial small subunit ribosomal RNA", at positions 993 to 1382 of the family's 1533-position model. The record is from RNAcentral. Lineage: Bacteria; Pseudomonadati; Bacteroidota; Sphingobacteriia; Sphingobacteriales.